RNAcentral lists this transfer RNA (72 nucleotides) under Nocardia aurantia. It matches the Rfam family "tRNA". Rfam says of the family: Transfer RNA (tRNA) molecules are approximately 80 nucleotides in length. Their secondary structure includes four short double-helical elements and three loops (D, anti-codon, and T loops). The record is from Rfam by way of RNAcentral. RNAcentral also lists the same sequence under 1 other name. Lineage: Bacteria; Bacillati; Actinomycetota; Actinomycetes; Mycobacteriales; Nocardiaceae.
GGUCUCAUAGCUCAGCGGGAGAGCGCUCGCCUCACACGCGAGAGGUCGCUGGUUCGAUCCCAGCUGGGACCA